Long non-coding RNA from Meriones unguiculatus (Mongolian gerbil), 1591 nucleotides. RefSeq lists it as uncharacterized. The transcript is spliced from 2 exons. The record is from RefSeq and is a predicted model, not a curated record. NCBI's taxonomy places the organism in Eukaryota, Metazoa, Chordata, Mammalia, Rodentia, Muridae.
GGUGGGAGGCGCUGGAAUGUCCGCGGCGCGCUACGAGCGUGCGCAAGCGCACAUCGCGGGCAGCGGCGCUCGGGAGGGCCUGGUGGGGUCGGCUCGCCGGCUGUCGCUCCGCCUACGUCCAGGCUCCGCCUAGCGGCGCGAGUUGCGCAAUCCGUAGCCGGGGAACGGCUACGUGGUGACCCACUGAAUGGCUGCAGAGCAGAGAGCGUGGAACCUAGGGGCCGGUGGAGCGGGCGGAGCCUUGGUGGAAAGAUUGUCUGGGGCCGGCCCUGAAGGGACGCACGCCGCAGGCGGAGGAGUGUAAUGCCGGUUGCUUCUCUGACCCGAGACAGACUCCAGCGAUGAUCUGCUUCCUUGGAAGCUGCAUGUUACUGUGGUCCAAAACUUGUGAAGAGAAGCUGCAUCUGGCUGUGAAAGAAAAGUCCUGAAAGGAAUCCACAUCUGCAGAGACUGGCUGAUUAGAAUCUCAGUGCUGUUGCAGAGACUGGAAUGUUGCAGGUCCAGAAGCUAAUUACCUUAUCUCAGGCUAGUUCUAGCCCUCCAGAACAGACUCCUUGCCUGCCUCCUGUGUUGGAACUAACAUCUUGGGACAACAGAUUAAAGCCUUUUGCAGGCCACUAGACUCUACCAAUCCAAAAGCCAAGAAUGUCUUCAGAUGGUGUCUAGAAGCUAUAGAAAAUAUUCCCCUAUCUCAUUGGACCUGCCUCUCUGAUGUACCCUGUAAAAGUAACUUUUAUUCCCCUGAUUCAAUUGUUGUCUUCAAGGCUUACUGCCAUUGUCUGCUAACCUAGUCUGGCUUCUAGGCCUAGUCCUAGAAACCUCUAGCUUGCAUACAAUCUAACCAAGGCCUAGAAUGUUUUCAGCCUCUGAGAUUUCCUAUUAAGUAAGCUCACUUUUUCUGGUUCUUUCUGAGUUUGGGCUCACUGGGUCAACUCAGCUGUUCUGGCUCAAACCCCUCUCCAUGCUGACUGAUUUUAUCUGGCUUCUCUCAGUUUCUCACUGAAUAGCUCUGCUUGGCCUCAAACUAACUCUAGCAAUCUGUUCUAAUCUUCUGUCUCCUCAUUCUCUGGCUUAUUCUGUCUUUACCUGUAUCCAGUUUGUUCGCUCUUCAACCUCUUUCUGUAAAACUCUUCCGGUAAAAAACUGCUUUGAAUUUCAUAAACCUUACUACCAAAAACUCAACUCCAAUGCACUGCCUCUCAACUCACUGAUUCAACUGAAGUUCUGAACAGCACUCAGAGCCUCUGUCUCCUGAAUACUGAGACUAAACAUGUGUACUACCAUGCCUGGACCUUAGCCUUUCUCUACUUGCAACUUGCACUGUACCAGGCUAGCCUGGAACUCAGAAAUCACUUUGCUUGUUUCCUGGGAUUAAAGGUGUGUCUGUGUUCCAGCUGGAUCAUUCAGACCUAGAAGGUCUUUAGUAGUGAUCUCUGGCUAAACUUGCCCUGGUUUAUGACUUUCUCAGUUCUGUAAAACUAUAAAAACUUCAUGGCACUGCUUCCGUGUUGGAAUGUGAAAUUUGGGGUAACCUAAAUCUGUAUUCCUGAGUCCCAGUAACUCAAAAUAAAUGCUCUUUUAUUCCCUUUAA